This 497-nucleotide ribosomal RNA is filed under the name uncultured bacterium. RNAcentral's name for it is "partial 16S ribosomal RNA". It matches the Rfam family "Bacterial small subunit ribosomal RNA", at positions 28 to 507 of the family's 1533-position model. The record is from RNAcentral.
GAUGAACGCUGGCGGCGUGCCUAAUACAUGCAAGUCGAGCGAACAGACGAGGAGCUUGCUCCUUCGACGUUAGCGGCGGACGGGUGAGUAACACGUAGAUAACCUACCUAUAAGACUGGGAUAACUUCGGGAAACCGGAGCUAAUACCGGAUAAUAUUUCGAACCGCAUGGUUCGAUAGUGAAAGACGGCUUUGCUAUCACUUAUAGAUGGACCCGCGCCGCAUUAGCUAGUUGGUAAGGUAACGGCUUACCAAGGCAACGAUGCGUAGCCGACCUGAGAGGGUGAUCGGCCACACUGGAACUGAGACACGGUCCAGACUCCUACGGGAGGCAGCAGUAGGGAAUCUUCCGCAAUGGGCGAAAGCCUGACGGAGCAACGCCGCGUGAGUGAUGAAGGUCUUCGGAUCGUAAAACUCUGUUAUUAGGGAAGAACAAACGUGUAAGUAACUAUGCACGUCUUGACGGUACCUAAUCAGAAAGCCACGGCUAACUACGUG